UUGUGUACUAGCUGCGUCAAAUGAAUACUAUUCUGGGCCGUAAUGAAUUUAAUUCCUUUCUGGCCUUAUUAGUCAAGAAAUUAUGUUUUCACAACAGGCGUAUUAACCACCGAGGCCGGAGCGCUCUAUAUAUACUUCUUAGUUGAUCAUACUCACGCGACAGAGUCCGAGUGAAGAACCAUUUAUUUGACUAGGUUAAUUUAUACUUAUAAUUUACAAUAUCAGUUUACGUAACAUAGUGUACACUUUUUAUCACGUUCUCAGUUCUCUGCUGUGAUUAUUUAUAUCCAGUGUUGCUUUGAGUCACAGUGGUGGCGCCAGAAAUUUCCCGACGCAGGGGCUAGGUUCCCCGACGGGGGGGCUAUGCAAAUUUUUUCGUGGUUAUGCGUAUUAAAGUAGAAAUUAAUGAAUACAUACUAACAUAUUUUAUGUAACUAAAAUAUACAAUUGAGCAAGCAUAAUGUGUUCUUUAUAAAAUAUACGAAUCAAUAUACAAAGUUUAUACAGUAGGAAGUUCAGACACGCGUGUCCCUCGCGGAAACAUAAAAUUUUAGGAAGUGUAGUUAUUAUCCAUGAUGAGCUAUGAGCUCCCACGAUCAGCUAUGAGCUCUUGGAGAAAAUGUGUCUAAAUAAAUAUGUUUAUAUAAAAAAAAAACCCAAAAAAACUCCCACAGAAAAACCCAUCCAAAUUCAAAGAGAAAUUCUCCAUUUGGGAAAUCUGGCUUUGAACCUAUCUACUACGUUAUCUAAGUGCAGUUUUUCUCCUCGCUCGCGGUGAAUUCCCAACAUCAUAAGGCUAUCCAGACGCUCCUGUUUCAUUACUGAACGGAGUUCAUUCUUUAUCAGCUUCAUUGAACUAAAAUUUCUUUCACAUUCAGCUGAUGAAACAGGUAAGGUACAGGCAAUCAGAACAAUGCGAUGCAGCUCAGAGAAUGCUUCCUUUAACGUCUCCAGGUAAGAUAGCAUCUGAAGAAGUCCUUUUGGGUGAUCUUC
This is a non-coding RNA of Paramuricea clavata, 993 nucleotides long. The record is from the annotation of a GenBank genome assembly. Lineage: Eukaryota; Metazoa; Cnidaria; Anthozoa; Malacalcyonacea; Plexauridae.